RNAcentral lists this ribosomal RNA (253 nucleotides) under uncultured bacterium. RNAcentral's name for it is "partial 16S ribosomal RNA". It matches the Rfam family "Bacterial small subunit ribosomal RNA", at positions 524 to 776 of the family's 1533-position model. The record is from RNAcentral.
UACAGAGGUCCCGAGCGUUGUUCGGAUUUAUUGGGCGUAAAGCGCGUGUAGGCGGCUUUGCAAGUCGGGUGUGAAAGCCCUCAGCUCAACUGAGGAAGUGCGCCCGAAACUGCAGAGCUUGAGUACCGGAGAGGGUGGCGGAAUUCCCCAAGUAGAGGUGAAAUUCGUAGAUAUGGGGAGGAACACCGGUGGCGAAGGCGGCCACCUGGACGGUCACUGACGCUGAGACGCGAAAGCGUGGGGAGCAAACAGG